This 1470-nucleotide ribosomal RNA is filed under the name Pseudomonas sp. PDM24. RNAcentral's name for it is "partial 23S ribosomal RNA". It matches the Rfam family "Bacterial large subunit ribosomal RNA", at positions 1 to 1527 of the family's 2925-position model. The record is from RNAcentral. Lineage: Bacteria; Pseudomonadati; Pseudomonadota; Gammaproteobacteria; Pseudomonadales; Pseudomonadaceae.
GGUCAAGUGAAGAAGCGCAUACGGUGGAUGCCUUGGCAGUCAGAGGCGAUGAAAGACGUGGUAGCCUGCGAAAAGCUUCGGGGAGUCGGCAAACAGACUUUGAUCCGGAGAUGUCUGAAUGGGGGAACCCACCUAACAUAAGUUAGGUAUCUUAAGCUGAAUACAUAGGCUUAAGAAGCGAACCAGGGGAACUGAAACAUCUAAGUACCCUGAGGAAAAGAAAUCAACCGAGAUUCCCUUAGUAGUGGCGAGCGAACGGGGACUAGCCCUUAAGUGGCUUUGAGAUUAGCGGAACGCUCUGGAAAGUGCGGCCAUAGUGGGUGAUAGCCCUGUACGCGAAAAUCUCUUGGUCAUGAAAUCGAGUAGGACGGAGCACGAGAAACUUUGUCUGAAUAUGGGGGGACCAUCCUCCAAGGCUAAAUACUACUGACUGACCGAUAGUGAACUAGUACCGUGAGGGAAAGGCGAAAAGAACCCCGGAGAGGGGAGUGAAAUAGAUCCUGAAACCGUAUGCGUACAAGCAGUGGGAGCCCACUUUGUUGGGUGACUGCGUACCUUUUGUAUAAUGGGUCAGCGACUUAUUUUCAGUGGCGAGCUUAACCGAAUAGGGGAGGCGUAGCGAAAGCGAGUCUUAAUAGGGCGUCUAGUCGCUGGGAAUAGACCCGAAACCGGGCGAUCUAUCCAUGGGCAGGUUGAAGGUUGGGUAACACUAACUGGAGGACCGAACCGACUACCGUUGAAAAGUUAGCGGAUGACCUGUGGAUCGGAGUGAAAGGCUAAUCAAGCUCGGAGAUAGCUGGUUCUCCUCGAAAGCUAUUUAGGUAGCGCCUCAUGUAUCACUGUAGGGGGUAGAGCACUGUUUCGGCUAGGGGGUCAUCCCGACUUACCAAACCGAUGCAAACUCCGAAUACCUACAAGUGCCGAGCAUGGGAGACACACGGCGGGUGCUAACGUCCGUCGUGAAAAGGGAAACAACCCAGACCGUCAGCUAAGGUCCCAAAGUUAUGGUUAAGUGGGAAACGAUGUGGGAAGGCUUAGACAGCUAGGAGGUUGGCUUAGAAGCAGCCACCCUUUAAAGAAAGCGUAAUAGCUCACUAGUCGAGUCGGCCUGCGCGGAAGAUGUAACGGGGCUCAAACCAUACACCGAAGCUACGGGUAUCACUUAGGUGAUGCGGUAGAGGAGCGUUCUGUAAGCCUGUGAAGGUGAGUUGAGAAGCUUGCUGGAGGUAUCAGAAGUGCGAAUGCUGACAUGAGUAACGACAAUGGGUGUGAAAAACACCCACGCCGAAAGACCAAGGUUUCCUGCGCAACGUUAAUCGACGCAGGGUUAGUCGGUCCCUAAGGCGAGGCUGAAAAGCGUAGUCGAUGGAAAACAGGUUAAUAUUCCUGUACUUCUGGUUAUUGCGAUGGAGGGACGGAGAAGGCUAGGCCAGCUUGGCGUUGGUUGUCCAAGUUUAAGGUGGUAGGCUG